AGAGUUUGAUCCUGGCUCAGGAUGAACGCUGGCGGCGUGCCUUAUGCAUGCAAGUCGAACGGACGUUAGGGCUUCGGCCUUAACGUUAGUGGCGAACGGGUGAGUAACACGUAUGCAACCUAUCCGAAUGUGGGGGAUAACUCGCCGAAAGGCGGACUAAUACCGCAUGUGGUCGCCGGUGAGAACCCGGUGGACAAAAGCCGCAAGGCGCGUUCGGAGGGGCGUGCGGCCGAUUAGCUUGUUGGUGGGGUAACGGCUCACCAAGGCGACGAUCGGUAGCUGGUCUGAGAGGACGACCAGCCACACGGGGACUGAGACACGGCCCCGACUCCUACGGGAGGCAGCAGCAAGGAAUCUUGCGCAAUGGGCGAAAGCCUGACGCAGCAACGCCGCGUGGGGGAUGAAGGCCUUCGGGUCGUAAACCCCUUUUGCUGGGGAAGCAACUGACGGUACCCAGCGAAUAAGCCACGGCUAACUACGUGCCAGCAGCCGCGGUA
This 497-nucleotide ribosomal RNA is filed under the name uncultured bacterium. RNAcentral's name for it is "bacterial SSU rRNA". It matches the Rfam family "Bacterial small subunit ribosomal RNA", at positions 8 to 522 of the family's 1533-position model. The record is from RNAcentral.